RNAcentral lists this transfer RNA (92 nucleotides) under Rhodoferax sp. Its description in RNAcentral is "tRNA-Ser". RNAcentral also lists the same sequence under 1 other name. The record is from RNAcentral. Lineage: Bacteria; Pseudomonadati; Pseudomonadota; Betaproteobacteria; Burkholderiales; Comamonadaceae.
GGAAAGUUAUGCAGCGGGGUUGGUCCUGCGACCGGUCUUGAAAACCGGGUUCUCCUAACGGGGAUGGGGUUCGACUCCUCAACUUUCCGCCA